AUUGAACGCUGGCGGCAUGCCUUACACAUGCAAGUCGAACAGUAACAGGUUAAGCUGACGAGUGGCGAACGGGUGAGUAAUAUAUCGGAACGUGCCCAGUCGUGGGGGAUAACGUAGCGAAAGCUACGCUAAUACCGCAUACGAUCUACGGAUGAAAGCGGGGGAUCGCAAGACCUCGCGCGAUGGGAGCGGCCGAUAACAGAUUAGGUUGUUGGUGAGGUAAAAGCUCACCAAGCCUGCGAUCUGUAGCUGGUCUGGGCGGACGACCAGCCACACUGGAACUGAGACACGGUCCAGACUCCUACGGGAGGCAGCAGUGGGGAAUUUUGGACAAUGGACGCAAGUCUGAUCCAGCAAUGCCGCGUGCAGGACGAAGGCCUUCGGGUUGUAAACUGCUUUUGUACGGAACGAAACGGUGAGCUCUAAUACGGUUUGCUAAUGACGGUACCGUAAGAAUAAGCACCGGCUAACUACGUGCCAGCCGCCGCCGUAA
Molecule: ribosomal RNA, 493 nt
Filed under: uncultured bacterium
Lineage: Bacteria
Description: partial 16S ribosomal RNA
Rfam family: Bacterial small subunit ribosomal RNA
Source: RNAcentral